GACGAACGCUGGCGGCGUGCCUAAUACAUGCAAGUUGAGCGCUGAAGGUUGGUACUUGUACCAACUGGAUGAGCAGCGAACGGGUGAGUAACGCGUGGGGAAUCUGCCUUUGAGCGGGGGACAACAUUUGGAAACGAAUGCUAAUACCGCAUAAAAACUUUAAACACAAGUUUUAAGUUUGAAAGAUGCAAUUGCACCACUCAAAGAUGAUCCCGCGUUGUAUUAGCUAGUUGGUGAGGUAAAGGCUCACCAAGGCGAUGAUACAUAGCCGACCUGAGAGGGUGAUCGGCCACAUUGGGACUGAGACACGGCCCAAACUCCUACGGGAGGCAGCAGUAGGGAAUCUUCGGCAAUGGACGAAAGUCUGACCGAGCAACGCCGCGUGAGUGAAGAAGGUUUUCUGAUCGUAAAACUCUGUUGGUAGAGAAGAACGUUGGUGAGAGUGGAAAGCUCAUCAAGUGACGGUAACUACCCAGAAAGGGACGGCUAACUACGUG
RNAcentral lists this ribosomal RNA (497 nucleotides) under uncultured bacterium. RNAcentral describes it as "partial 16S ribosomal RNA". It matches the Rfam family "Bacterial small subunit ribosomal RNA", at positions 28 to 507 of the family's 1533-position model. The record is from RNAcentral.